AUUGAACGCUGGCGGCAGGCCUAACACAUGCAAGUCGAGCGGAUGAAGGGAGCUUGCUCCUGGAUUCAGCGGCGGACGGGUGAGUAAUGCCUAGGAAUCUGCCUGGUAGUGGGGGAUAACGUCCGGAAACGGGCGCUAAUACCGCAUACGUCCUGAGGGAGAAAGUGGGGGAUCUUCGGACCUCACGCUAUCAGAUGAGCCUAGGUCGGAUUAGCUAGUUGGUGGGGUAAAGGCCUACCAAGGCGACGAUCCGUAACUGGUCUGAGAGGAUGAUCAGUCACACUGGAACUGAGACACGGUCCAGACUCCUACGGGAGGCAGCAGUGGGGAAUAUUGGACAAGGGGCGAAAGCCUGAUCCAGCCAUGCCGCGUGUGUGAAGAAGGUCUUCGGAUUGUAAAGCACUUUAAGUUGGGAGGAAGGGCAGUAAGUUAAUACCUUGCUGUUUUGACGUUACCAACAGAAUAAGCACCGGCUAACUUCGG
Molecule: ribosomal RNA, 483 nt
Filed under: uncultured bacterium
Lineage: Bacteria
Description: partial 16S ribosomal RNA
Rfam family: Bacterial small subunit ribosomal RNA
Source: RNAcentral